Molecule: long non-coding RNA, 217 nt
Filed under: Vigna radiata
Lineage: Eukaryota; Viridiplantae; Streptophyta; Magnoliopsida; Fabales; Fabaceae
Description: long non-coding RNA (VRAD_LNC013259)
Source: RNAcentral
AGGAAUGCGCGUGGUGAUAGGAAGAGAGAAAGGAAGCCCAUGACAGGCUCAAAAUUCUUUGCCUUAGUUCGGAAACGUUAGGGGAUCUAUGAAAUUUCCCACUUCAUCAACGACACCCAAUGCCAGAGAACUAAGGUCUCUUUCUUUGAUUAGCAGAAAUCAGAGACACCCAACUCUACUACUCACAGCCCAGCCUUCACCUAAACGGCCAUCUCCC